UGUUGAAAAAGCAUGGGAUG
This 20-nucleotide microRNA is filed under the name Mus musculus (house mouse). RNAcentral describes it as "microRNA miR-L-23". Lineage: Eukaryota; Metazoa; Chordata; Mammalia; Rodentia; Muridae. The record is from RNAcentral.